Arachis stenosperma is the source of this 897-nucleotide long non-coding RNA. RefSeq lists it as uncharacterized. The transcript is spliced from 3 exons. NCBI's taxonomy places the organism in Eukaryota, Viridiplantae, Streptophyta, Magnoliopsida, Fabales, Fabaceae. The record is from RefSeq and is a predicted model, not a curated record.
CUCACACUCAAUCUCCAUCCUCUGCACCUAGCCCUAGCUCCUGGCCGUUCCCUUACCUCCGUCCAGCCACCGCCGUCGUUCCUUCCUUCCAACAGCCACCGUCUGCUCGCUCACCUUCCCUCCAUCACGCAGCAGCCAUCGAUAUCAACCUUCCAUUCCAUCGCGCAGAAAUCGCAACCUUCCUCCGUCGCGCAGCCACGCCACCGGCGGCACUAUCUCUAUUCUCCGCAACCACUGUCCCAGUUCGAAGCCCGUUCGAAGGUACUCCACCACUGUCUUGGUCACUCGGUGUCUCUAUCUCCCAUCGCGCAGCCAUCGCAACCUUCCUCCGUCGCGCAGCCACGCCGCCGCCGGCACUAUCUCUGUUCUCCGCAAUCACUGUUCCAGUCGAAGCCCGUUCGAAGGUACUCCACCACUGUCUUGGUCACUCGGUGUCUCUAUCUCCCUUUUGCAUGCUCUGUUGAAGGCUUCUUCUAGCUUCUAGGUUUGGGUAAAGUGGGGAGAGAGACGCCAGUUCAUUGCCCAGAACAAGCUAGGGAUGACUUCCUGUCACAAGGUAGUUGGUGAUAUCAGUGCACUUAGGAGGUUGUAUUAUAAUAUGUACAAAUUUUCUUAUUUCACAAAAAUAGUUUUGCACUUGGUUGACUCGGUUAAGUAACAAUAGAAGAAGGAAGUAUGUAAUGCAUGAAUCAUAAUAAAAUACUGGCCUAAUUAAGCAACAAGAUCCAUUAGUUUACCUUAGGUUUCUUGAAAUUUAUUACCAUGUUAAUUUUCUGGGGUAAAAAGUAAGUGAAAGAUUAUUGUGCGAUUUUAUGUUCAUCUGUCCUGUGUUAGUGGUUUUUUUCCUUGGUACUGUUCACUAAUUUAGACAAGUGCCUUUCUCUAAUAUGCCCUCAU